This 216-nucleotide ribosomal RNA is filed under the name Glomeromycotina sp. Its description in RNAcentral is "partial small subunit ribosomal RNA". The stretch from base 75 to 216 matches the Rfam family "Eukaryotic small subunit ribosomal RNA", at positions 721 to 864 of the family's 1831-position model. The record is from RNAcentral. Lineage: Eukaryota; Fungi; Glomeromycota.
GGGUCAGUAGGUUGGUCGUGCCACCGGUACGUACUGGUCUCACUGAUUCCUCCCUCCUGAAGAACCGUAAUGCCAUUAAUUUGGUGUUGCGGGGAAACAGGACUGUUACUUUGAAAAAAUUAGAGUGUUUAAAGCAAGCUAACGCUUGAAUACAUUAGCAUGGAAUAAUGAAAUAGGACGAUCGAUCCUAUUUUGUUGGCUUCUAGGAUUGACGUA